GGAAGUAAAAGUCGUAACAAGGUUUCCGUAGGUGAACCUGCGGAAGGAUCAUUGUCGAAACCUGCCUAGCAGAACGACCCGAGAACUAGUUUCAAAGCGGGGGGGCGAGGGGCCCUGCGGCUCCUUGUCCCCUUUUAUCCCGGGGGGUUGCGCUGCGCUCGCGUGGCCGACCCUUCCGGGCGUACAAACGAACACCGGCGCGAAUUGCGCCAAGGAAAUUGAACGAGAGAGCGCGUCCCCGUCGCCCCGAAAACGGUGUGCGCGGGCGGCGUCGUCAUCUUCAAAUAUGUCAAAACGACUCUCGGCAACGGAUAUCUCGGCUCUCGCAUCGAUGAAGAACGUAGCGAAAUGCGAUACUUGGUGUGAAUUGCAGAAUCCCGUGAACCAUCGAGUCUUUGAACGCAAGUUGCGCCCGAAGCCACUAGGCCGAGGGCACGCCUGCCUGGGCGUCACACGACGUUGCCCCCCCCAUCUACUCCUUCGGGAUUUGCGGGGGGCGGAUGAUGGCCUCCCGUGCGCCUCGCCGCGCGGUUGGCAUGAAUACCAAGUCCUCGGCGACGCACGCCACGACAAUCGGUGGUUGCGAAACCUCGGUUGCCCGUCGUGUGCGUUCGUCGCGCAUCGAGGGCUCGAAAAAAUGCCCGGCUCCGGCUCGGCUUUCAACGCGACCCCAGGUCAGGCGGGGUUACCCGCUGAAUUUAAGCAUAUCAAUAAGCGGAGGA
This 722-nucleotide ribosomal RNA is filed under the name Prunus persica (peach). RNAcentral describes it as "eukaryotic LSU rRNA". The stretch from base 297 to 452 matches the Rfam family "5.8S ribosomal RNA". The record is from RNAcentral. Lineage: Eukaryota; Viridiplantae; Streptophyta; Magnoliopsida; Rosales; Rosaceae.